RNAcentral lists this unclassified non-coding RNA (290 nucleotides) under Hemimycena sp. Its description in RNAcentral is "partial contains 5.8S ribosomal RNA, internal transcribed spacer 2, and large subunit ribosomal RNA". The record is from RNAcentral. Lineage: Eukaryota; Fungi; Basidiomycota; Agaricomycetes; Agaricales; Mycenaceae.
AACGCACAUUGCGCCCCUUGGUAUUCCUUGGGGCAUGCCUGUUCGAGCGUCACUACAAACCCACUCAUAAAUAUUAUGGUAAUGGUGGAUGUGAAAGGAGGCUACUAGUAUGUCUCAGUCACCCCAUUGAAAUACAUAGGCAGGACAAUUAUCUUUAGCAAAGGACUUAGUAACUGUUAUGAAAACAUAUAUUAGUUUCUUGCUAGGAUUUGGACUGACUUCUAUGGAUCUCCAUUAAAGAUAAAUUCUGGGUUGACCUCGGAUCAGGUAGGGAUACCCGCUGAACUUAA